GUCUGGGCAAAAAAACUAGAACCAAAGAACCGAAGCGAACUGGAACCGAAUCGAAAUACCCGAAACAGGACCGAAACCUUCAAGUAUUUGAAUGGUUCAUAUAUUUAUUUAUUCGAAAAAAUCGAACCGAAACCGAACAAGUACUCGAAUAUAUAAAAAUAUUAUAUAUAAUUUAAAAAUCUAUUAAAAUAUCCAAAAAUAUUUGAAGAAACUAAAUUAUUAGAAAGUAUUUAAAUUACCUGGAAGUAUCCGGAUAUUUUUAUCCGAAAUAUCCAAAAUUUUAUCAUAACUAUCCUAUAUUUUACCAAACAUAUGGAUAUUUAACCCGAAUUAUUCGAACUACCCGAAAUAGCCUAAUUAGAACCAUAACCGAAUGAGAACUUUUAUAGGUGUUUUCUGGUUCCUACUUUUACUAUCCGAUCCAAACCCGAAACUACCCGAAACAAACCGAAAAUAAAUCAAGUAGUAAAUGGAUCUUCUAGCCCAUUAUCUGAACUACGUGAUACCCGAACUAACCGAACGGAACUGGUACCAGAAAUCCCAAGCCUAGUAGGAAGUUUAACAAGAAGUUAUCUGAAACCUAGGACUAGCUAGUAGUUGUUUCUGAAUGGUUAUCAAAAUACAAAUAAAAUGAUUUAUUCUUGUUACUCUUAUCUCAGGUACGUACAGAAGAGAACAAAUAAUUAAAUUAAAGAAGCAAAAGAGACAUAAAUUUGCUGCAAAAGAUGACAUAGAAGAUGCACAAAAAUCAGCCAAUUUAUUUAACUGUAUCUUACGCUAACCCUAAGCCACGUGGCGAAAUACCAUUUCUCCUGAUUUGCCCCGAAUGAUAAUCUUUCGGCUCACCGGAGAGAGACACACAGAAAAACUAUAGAAAGAAAGAGAGAGAGUGUGUGAGAGAGCUGUUUAAAUAAAAAGGGAGAGAGAAAGUGAGAGAAAGAUAAUGGAACAAGAUGAGUGGUUGAAUACGCUAAGAUACGACGGCAAGGUGCAAGAUAAAGUUUCCGUCGACAGUCUCAUGCUUCGGUACCGUCCGAUCGCUCCAAAACCGACGACCGAUCAACCAUGCGGUACAGGAGACAACUCAUACGGUAUGAGCAAACGAACCAAACGAAAGUACGUUAGGGUUUCGAAGAAUAAUAAAACCACGUGUCGAGGAAAGAGCAGAUCUGACGUGUCUGAUGGGCGGGAACAAGCUGGAGUCGUGACUCUUCAACUCCUGCCGGAAAAAUCCGAUCUCUCAGGCGGAUUCACGCCGUUAGAUCAGGACAGUCUCGAUCCGUCGGUGAAAACGAUAAACGGAGUAGAAACACGUGAAACUAACACAUGGGCUAUGUUCAACGGCGGCGUGACGGCGGAGGUGGAGACAUGGGUGACAGUGGAGUCUGUCACAGGCGUAUAUGACGGUAGUUCGAGUUCCCCUGCGGUGGGGUGCACGGACAUUGAGAUGGUGGAUAAUCUAGGUAAGGACAUGUGCCCUGCGUUCGUAUCGGAUGCAUCAAACCGUGUGGUUUGGGUUAACGAAGCUUACCGGAGAAAUGUUUCCGGUGAAGAUUGGUCGUCAUCUUUGCCGUUGCCGGAUGUUACGGUGUGGUUGGUGGCGGAGGAUUCCACGGUGGCUAUGUAUUGUAACUACCGAGCUUUCACGUGUAGGGUGAGGAUGCAGUACACUUGGCAGGAGACAAAGUAUACCAAAACGGUGCCGUGUGAUGUAUGGAAAAUGGAGUUUGGUGGCUUUGCAUGGAGGCUAGACACAACAGCUGCUCUGACUCUCUGGCUUUGAUGCUGAUUGCUGCCUGAAAAAUGAUGCUCUUUAAAUAUGUAUUCAUGCAUCCUUCAAAGCCGUGCAUCACACAAAUGCAUGUUGUUUGUAUCUGCAUAUAUAAGCGAAUUUGCUCAGUUUCGUUGAAGCUGUAUUAUCAAAUGGAUGAUGGUGGGCAUCGUGACAAUGGUUGGCAUAAAGCAUCUCAGGGCAAGCAGUGGAUGAUGCAACAACAGCAGCAACAACACCAACCAUCUAUGAAACAAGUGAUGUCGAUCAUAACAGCACAACUGUCGUUAUAUGCAAUUAAUAAGAGUGAACCAACUUUUAGGAGAGUUUAUUCAGAUGAACAUGUUCUCAUCAUCCGUGUUAGAUACAGUAAAAUCCUUGAAUUGAGUUGUUGCUUGUUGGUAACUAAUAUUACUACGUGUUUUUACUUGAGC
Molecule: RNA transcript, 2205 nt
Organism: Raphanus sativus (radish)
Lineage: Eukaryota; Viridiplantae; Streptophyta; Magnoliopsida; Brassicales; Brassicaceae
Exons: 4
Source: RefSeq, a predicted model, not a curated record